ACGCUCGACACCUACGGGAGGCAGCAGUGGGGAAUAUUGGGCAAUGGAGGAAACUCUGACCCAGCAACGCCGCGUGAAUGAUGAAGGUCUUUGGAUUGUAAAGUUCUUUUCUAAGGGACGAAGAAAGUGACGGUACCUUAGGAAUAAGCCUCGGCUAACUACGUGCCAUCAGCCGCGGUAAUCUGAGCGGGCUGGCAAGGC
This 201-nucleotide ribosomal RNA is filed under the name uncultured bacterium. Its description in RNAcentral is "partial 16S ribosomal RNA". It matches the Rfam family "Bacterial small subunit ribosomal RNA", at positions 328 to 539 of the family's 1533-position model. The record is from RNAcentral.